This 1173-nucleotide long non-coding RNA is filed under the name Gossypium barbadense (sea-island cotton). RNAcentral describes it as "long non-coding RNA (GBAR_LNC020450)". Lineage: Eukaryota; Viridiplantae; Streptophyta; Magnoliopsida; Malvales; Malvaceae. The record is from RNAcentral.
CAAAGAUAAUGCAGUAGUGUCUAGUGGCACCGUAUCAACUUCUUUUACGGUUGAUUUAGACAACAUGAGAAAGACAGUCCAACAUCAACAUUUCUGAUGGUAUGAAAAACGCUGUGAUCUUAGCCUCUGAGGCUACGAGAAUGGAUCAGGUUAACUGAGCACAAGGUAAGUGAUAUCAACUUGUAACUGGUCCUUAUGUUAAAACAAAUGAUUGGGCUUUUUAUUAAUCAUAAUUGGCAUGGAUAUAGGUGAUUACUUUUAUCUGGUUGCAUAUAGAAGCUCCGUAAACAUGUUGGCCUCGUUUCGAUACUUGUAAAUGUCAAAUAGGUAUUGCUGAGGAGAUCUCCGUUCCCGGUGUUUGCACUAGUAUAAAGAUUUAAUGCCUCAUUAGUUCUCUGGAUUUUGCAGAUAGAGGGAACAUACUGAUGACUUACCAUUUAAAGCUCGGUUCAAUUGUAGGACAUAUUGAUCUGUUCUAUGUAUUGUUAUAUGCUGUAAUAUAUAGCAUUUGUCAUUUAAAUGAAUCAUAAACUGUUUUAAGGCCAAAAUCAUUUGUAGACGAGACGAGAGGUACCAAUGUCCUGCUCAUUGCCGAGUAGAAAAAUGAGAUCUCAAAAUUAUGGCUUAUUUUACAGGCAACAAGUUCGAGGAUCGUAGAGCAGUACAUUCAAGCUUUCAGUAACAUUGUCAAGGACAUGAAAGGGAUAUAUCUGGGGACAUAUCGAUGCUUAUUGAAUUUGUCCUUUAUGCUCAUUGAUAGGGUAACAACAAUGUUGCUUCCUAGUUCUACAACACGGUUGCUCAAGCUCUCACCAUGUACAAAAGCCCAGUUUUAGUGAUGUUUCUGCCAACGGUUCUCGUCUAAACGUCUCUCCACCGAGCUAUAAAACAGGCUCCUAGAAGAAAGAGUAGAACUGUAUUUCUCAAGCUCUCACCAUGUACAAAAGCCCAGUUUUAGUGAUGUUUCUGCCAACGUUCUCGUCUAAACGUCUCUCCACCGAGCUAUAAAACAGGCUCCUAGAAGAAAGAGUAGAACUGUAUUUCUGGGUCAUUGUAUCUACUUAGUACAAAGAUGAUUAUUUCGAACAUUUUGAAAGUAAAAGGUUAGGUUUUGGGUGAUGUUAGGAUUGAUAAAAGCAAUUUGAUUCCAUUUCUUUUGCUUAUGGUUCUAAA